GACGAACGCUGGCGGCGUGCUUAACACAUGCCAGUCGAGCGGAAAGGCCACUUCGGUGGUACACGAGCGGCGAACGGGUGAGUAACACGUGAGUAAUCUGCCCCUCACUUUGGGAUAGCCACCGGAAACGGUGAUUAAUACCGGAUAUGACCAUAUGUCGCAUGGCGUGUGGUGGAAAGUUUUUCGGUGAGGGAUGUGCUCGCGGCCUAUCAGCUUGAUGGUGAGGUAAUGGCUCACCAUGGCUUCGACGGGUAGCCGGCCUGAGAGGGUGACCGGUCACACUGGGACUGAGACACGGCCCAGACUCCUACGGGAGGCAGCAGUGGGGAAUAUUGGACAAUGGGCGGAAGCCUGAUCCAGCAACGCCGCGUGAGGGAUGACGGCCUUCGGGUUGUAAACCUCUUUCAGUACCGACGAAGCGCAAGUGACGGUAGGUACAGAAGAAGCACCGGCCAACUACGUG
Molecule: ribosomal RNA, 463 nt
Filed under: uncultured bacterium
Lineage: Bacteria
Description: partial 16S ribosomal RNA
Rfam family: Bacterial small subunit ribosomal RNA
Source: RNAcentral